This 1036-nucleotide ribosomal RNA is filed under the name Sordariomycetes sp. RNAcentral's name for it is "eukaryotic LSU rRNA". The stretch from base 455 to 1036 matches the Rfam family "Eukaryotic large subunit ribosomal RNA", at positions 1 to 594 of the family's 3401-position model. The record is from RNAcentral. Lineage: Eukaryota; Fungi; Ascomycota; Sordariomycetes.
GAGUUCAUCUUCUCUGUAACCACUGCGAACGUACCGUCGUUGCCUCGGCGGGUGCCCUCUGGGGUCCCGCCGCAGGCCUGUAACCUUCUGUAUUUUAGUGGCCUCUCGGAUCAGUUACCAAACAAGUUAAAACUUUCAGCAACGGAUCUCUUGGUUCUGGCAUCGAUGAAGAACGCAGCGAAAUGCGAUAAGUAAUGUGAAUUGCAGAAUUCAGUGAAUCAUCGAAUCUUUGAACGCAUAUUGCGCCCGCCGGCACUCCGGCGGGCACGCCUAUUCGAGCGUCAUUUCGACCCCUCGAGACCUCCUUUUCUGGCUGGUCUCGGUGUUGGGGCUUUCCACGGCGACGUGGGCCCCCAAAAGCAGUGGCGGGCUCGCUGUGUUCCGGGCGUAGUAGUUCAACUCGUCUUGGAGCCUCAGCGGGUGCUGGCCGUAAAACCCCCCCAACUCUCAGAGUUGACCUCGAAUUAGGCGGGGAUACCCGGCGAACUUAAGCAUAUCACUACCCGGAGGAAAAGAAACCAACAGGGAUUGCCCCAGUAACGGCGAGUGAAGCGGCAACAGCUCAGAUUUGAAAUCUCCCCUCGGGGCGAGUUGUAAUCUGUAGAGGAUGCUUCUGGGCGCGGCGUACCGCUAAGUCCCCUGGAACGGGGCGCCAUGGAGGGUGAGAGCCCCGUGAGCGGCGCGCCUAGCCCGUGUGAAGCUCCUUCGACGAGUCGAGUAGUUUGGGAUUGCUGCUCAAAAUGGGAGGUAGAUUCCUUCUAAAGCUAAAUACCGGCCAGAGACCGAUAGCGCACAAGUAGAGUGAUCGAAAGAUGAAAAGCACUUUGAAAAGAGGGUUAAAUAGCACGUGAAAUUGCUGAAAGGGAAGCGCUUGUGACCAGACUUGCGCGGGGGCGAUCAUCUCGCGUUCUCGCGGGUGCACUCGCCCCCGUUCAGGCCAGCGUCGGCUCUCCUGGAGGUACAAAGGCGUCGGGAAUGUAGCUCCCUCGGGAGUGUUAUAGACCGGCGCGCAAUGCCUCCGGGGGGGCCGAGACCG